UACGUGGGGGGCGAGCGUUGUCCGGAAUCAUUGGGCGUAAAGCGCGUGUAGGCGGUUCAGUAAGUCUGCUGUGAAAGUCCAGGGCUCAACCCUGGGAUGCCGGUGGAUACUGCUGAACUAGAGUGCGGAAGAGGCGAGUGGAAUUCCCGGUGUAGCGGUGAAAUGCGCAGAUAUCGGGAGGAACACCAAUUGCGAAGGCAGCUCGCUGGGACGUUACUGACGCUGAGACGCGAAAGCGUGGGGAGCAAACAGG
RNAcentral lists this ribosomal RNA (253 nucleotides) under uncultured bacterium. RNAcentral describes it as "partial 16S ribosomal RNA". It matches the Rfam family "Bacterial small subunit ribosomal RNA", at positions 524 to 776 of the family's 1533-position model. The record is from RNAcentral.